Molecule: ribosomal RNA, 460 nt
Filed under: uncultured Proteiniphilum sp.
Lineage: Bacteria; Pseudomonadati; Bacteroidota; Bacteroidia; Bacteroidales; Dysgonomonadaceae
Description: bacterial SSU rRNA
Rfam family: Bacterial small subunit ribosomal RNA
Source: RNAcentral
CCUACGGGGGGCUGCAGUGAGGAAUAUUGGUCAAUGGAGGCAACUCUGAACCAGCCAAGUCGCGUGAAGGAUGACUGUCCUAAGGAUUGUAAACUUCUUUUAUAUGGGAAUAACUGUCGCCACGUGUGGUGAUUUGCAUGUACCAUAUGAAUAAGGAUCGGCUAACUCCGUGCCAGCAGCCGCGGUAAUACGGAGGAUCCGAGCGUUAUCCGGAUUUAUUGGGUUUAAAGGGUGCGCAGGCGGGAGAUUAAGUCGGCGGUGAAAUUUUGCGGCUCAACCGUAAAAGUGCCAUCGAAACUGGUUUUCUUGAGUGUAGAUGAAGUAGGCGGAAUUUGUGGUGUAGCGGUGAAAUGCAUAGAUAUCACGAGGAACUCCGAUUGCGCAGGCAGCUUACUAAACUACUACUGACGCUCAUGCACGAAGGCGUGGGGAUCAAACAGGCUUAGAUACCCUUGUAGUC